This 215-nucleotide ribosomal RNA is filed under the name Haemophilus influenzae. RNAcentral describes it as "partial 23S ribosomal RNA". It matches the Rfam family "Bacterial large subunit ribosomal RNA", at positions 2719 to 2925 of the family's 2925-position model. The record is from RNAcentral. Lineage: Bacteria; Pseudomonadati; Pseudomonadota; Gammaproteobacteria; Pasteurellales; Pasteurellaceae.
GGUUGUGUCGCCAGACGCAUUGCCGGGUAGCUAAGUGCGGAAGAGAUAAGUGCUGAAAGCAUCUAAGCACGAAACUUGCCAAGAGAUGAGUUCUCCCAAUCUAAGAGAUAGUAAGGGUUGUUGUAGACUACGACGUAGAUAGGUCUGGUGUGUAAGUGUAGUGAUACAUUGAGCUAACAGAUACUAAUUGCCCGAGAGGCUUAACUAUACAACGC